This 253-nucleotide ribosomal RNA is filed under the name uncultured bacterium. Its description in RNAcentral is "partial 16S ribosomal RNA". It matches the Rfam family "Bacterial small subunit ribosomal RNA", at positions 524 to 776 of the family's 1533-position model. The record is from RNAcentral.
UACGGAGGGGGCUAGCGUUGUUCGGAAUUACUGGGCGUAAAGCGCGCGUAGGCGGUGUGUCAAGUCAGGCGUGAAAGCCCCGGGCUCAACCUGGGAACCGCGCUUGAGACUGGCACGCUAGAGUUCGGGAGAGGAUGGUGGAAUUCCCAGUGUAGAGGUGAAAUGCGUAGAUAUCAGGAGGAACACCGGUGGCGAAGGCGGCCCUCUGGACGGAUACUGACGCUGAGACGCGAAAGCGUGGGGAGCAAACAGG